This 325-nucleotide ribosomal RNA is filed under the name uncultured eukaryote. Its description in RNAcentral is "partial 18S ribosomal RNA". It matches the Rfam family "Eukaryotic small subunit ribosomal RNA", at positions 1470 to 1796 of the family's 1831-position model. The record is from RNAcentral.
CCCUUAGAUGUUCUGGGCCGCACGCGCGCUACACUGAUGCAUUCAACGAGCCUAUCCUUGACCGACAGGUCCGGGUAAUCUUUGAAUCUGCAUCGUGACGGGGAUAGAUUAUUGCAAUUAUUAAUCUUCAACGAGGAAUGCCUAGUAGGCACAAGUCAUCAGCUUGCGUCGAUUACGUCCCUGCCCUUUGUACACACCGCCCGUCGCUCCUACCGAUUGGGUGUGCUGGUGAAAUGUUCGGAUCGGCCGUUUGUCGCGGUUUCCGCGGCUCGUGGCUGAGAAGUUCAUUAAACCCUCCCACCUAGAGGAAGGAGAAGUCGUAACA